Molecule: unclassified non-coding RNA, 253 nt
Filed under: uncultured Bacillaceae bacterium
Lineage: Bacteria; Bacillati; Bacillota; Bacilli; Caryophanales; Bacillaceae
Description: contains 16S-23S intergenic spacer region
Rfam family: Bacterial small subunit ribosomal RNA
Source: RNAcentral
UACGUAGGGGACAAGCGUUGUCCGGGCUUAUUGGGCGUAAAGCGCGCGCAGGUGGUUUCUUAAGUCUGAUGUGAAAGCCCACGGCUCAACCGUGGAGGGUCAUUGGAAACUGGGGAACUUGAGUGCAGAAGAGGAAAGUGGAAUUCCAAGUGUAGCGGUGAAAUGCGUAGAUAUUUGGAGGAACACCAGUGGCGAAGGCGACUUUCUGGUCUGUAACUGACACUGAGGCGCGAAAGCGUGGGGAGCAAACAGG